Molecule: ribosomal RNA, 469 nt
Filed under: uncultured bacterium
Lineage: Bacteria
Description: partial 16S ribosomal RNA
Rfam family: Bacterial small subunit ribosomal RNA
Source: RNAcentral
GAUGAACGCUGGCGGCGUGCUUAACACAUGCAAGUCGAACGGUGAACACGGAGCUUGCUCUGUGGGAUCAGUGGCGAACGGGUGAGUAACACGUGAGCAACCUGCCCCUGACUCUGGGAUAAGCGCUGGAAACGGCGUCUAAUACUGGAUAUGUGACGUGACCGCAUGGUCUGCGUUUGGAAAGAUUUUUCGGUUGGGGAUGGGCUCGCGGCCUAUCAGCUUGUUGGUGAGGUAAUGGCUCACCAAGGCGUCGACGGGUAGCCGGCCUGAGAGGGUGACCGGCCACACUGGGACUGAGACACGGCCCAGACUCCUACGGGAGGCAGCAGUGGGGAAUAUUGCACAAUGGGCGCAAGCCUGAUGCAGCAACGCCGCGUGAGGGAUGACGGCCUUCGGGUUGUAAACCUCUUUUAGCAGGGAAGAAGCGAAAGUGACGUUACCUGCAGAAAAAGCGCCGGCUAACUACGUG